GACCUUUUGCUUCCUUAGGGUUUCUAAUUCUUCAAUAGGCCAUUGAACUAAUUGUUUACCACUAAGGUCUAGCCAUACUUGUCGCGGAAUACCUUGAAUUCCAGCCCAUCCUUUCUUAAUUUCAUCGGAUUCAUUUGACCAACCCCAAAUAACCCUUCGAUUUCUGCUAGGAUCAUAGAAUGUCUUCGAUGCAUAGAAAUUACCAUAGUCGAUUCUCAAUCCCUUCCAACCAUCAAUUGAAUUGUUAUUCGGAAUAUACCUAUCUAUUUUGG
This 272-nucleotide unclassified non-coding RNA is filed under the name Hevea brasiliensis (rubber tree). The record is from RNAcentral. Lineage: Eukaryota; Viridiplantae; Streptophyta; Magnoliopsida; Malpighiales; Euphorbiaceae.